Unclassified non-coding RNA from Cercocebus atys (sooty mangabey), 60 nucleotides. NCBI's taxonomy places the organism in Eukaryota, Metazoa, Chordata, Mammalia, Primates, Cercopithecidae. The record is from Ensembl.
CGCUGAAUAUCUUCAGGAAAAUGGGUUCCAUGAGAAGUGACAUCCUCCUCAAAUCAAAAG